AAGUCGUAACAAGGUAUCCGUAGGUGAACCUGCGGAUGGAUCAUUAAAGAAGGCAAUAGGAGUCAUCCUGUUACUUACCUUUUGUGGUGUAGAAAGAGUCGUUGUAGGGGUGCGAGUCGUCGUCGUCGUCGUUGUCAUCAUCGUCGUCGUCGUCGCCGCCGCAUCUCUCACCAUAAACCUUUUUAAAUAUUUAUCAUAACCAACUAAAGUAACCUUGCGGAUCAUUAUCCAUGCUUUUGCGUGGAUAAACGGUCAUCAAGUAAAACAAAACAUAAUCAAAUACAACUGCUAGCAACGGAUCACUCGGCUCUC
RNAcentral lists this unclassified non-coding RNA (312 nucleotides) under fungal sp. RNAcentral describes it as "partial internal transcribed spacer region". The stretch from base 1 to 46 matches the Rfam family "Eukaryotic small subunit ribosomal RNA", at positions 1786 to 1831 of the family's 1831-position model. The record is from RNAcentral. Lineage: Eukaryota; Fungi.